Molecule: ribosomal RNA, 468 nt
Filed under: uncultured bacterium
Lineage: Bacteria
Description: partial 16S ribosomal RNA
Rfam family: Bacterial small subunit ribosomal RNA
Source: RNAcentral
GACGAACGCUGGCGGCGUGCUUAACACAUGCAAGUCGAACGGACAGGCCCUGCUUUUGUGGGUUGCUCGAUUGCCGCACGGGUGAGUAACACGUGUGUAACCUGCCCUUGUCUUUCUGAUAACUUCACGAAACUGGGGCUAAUACCGGAUAUGAUCUCCUGCUGCAUGGUGUUGGUUGGAAAGUUUCGGCGGUUGUGGAUGGACUCGCUGCUUAUCGGCUUGUUUGUGGAGUAGUGGCUUUCCAAGGCUUUGAGGGCUAGCCUGCCUGGGAGGGUUAACGGGCACAUGGGGACUGAGGGAGGGACCAGAAGCGAACGGGCGGCAGUAGGGGGGAGUAUGGCGGAAUGGGCGGAAGUGAGAGGCAGCAACGCUGGGAGCGGGAUGACGGCCUAUGGGGUGUAAACAGAUGUCGCCUGUGACGAAGAGUGAGUGACGGUAAUGGGUAAAGAAGCACCGGCUAACUACGUG